GCCAAAAAUCUAGCCCUAAGACAAUGAAUAAAACACCAUAAACUUACCACCACAAACUAAACCAUUUUAACACUUUAGUAAAGGAGAUUAAAAAAGUAUUAGGAGCUAUACAAACAGUACCGCAAGGGAAAGAUGAAAUAAAAAUGAAACAACUUUAAAGCACAAAAAAGUAGAGAUUACUUCUCGUACCUUUUGCAUCAUGGUUUAACUAGUCCAACCAAGCAAAAAGACUUUAAGUUUGACCUCCCGAAACUAAGCGAGCUACUUCAAGGCAGCUUAUUGAGCUAACCCGUCUCUGUUGCAAAAGAGUGGGAAGACCUUCAAGUAGGGGUGACAGACCUAACGAGCUUAGUGAUAGCUGGUUACUCAGGAAAAGGAUUUUAGUCCUACCUAAAAUUUUAGCUAUAAAACUAAAUACAACUAUUUUAGAGCAAUUUAAAUAAGGUACAGCCUAUUUAAAACAGGAUACAACCUAAACAAAUGGGUUAUCUAUGACUUCUGUACAACCAAGUGGGCCUAAAAGCAGCCACCUUAAAAAAGCGUCAAAGCUUAAUUGAACUAUCUACCCUAAUACCUAAAUUAACAGAAAACCCUUCACCAAUACUGAGUAAUUCUAUAUCACUAUAGAAUAUUUUAUGUUAGAACUAGUAACAAGAAGAAGAACUUCUCUUUAAUGCAAGUGUAAAUCAGAAAGGACACCCCACUGAUAAUUACUCACCCAUGAGCCAAAAGUAGUAACCCAACAAGAAAACUCUACUAAACUUAACGUUAACCUAACACAAGAGCAUCUCAAGAAAGAUUAAAAGAAAAAGAAGGAACUCGGCAAAUCUUAACCUCGCCUGUUUACCAAAAACAUCGCCUCUUGAAAAAUUAUAAGAGGUCCAGCCUGCCCAGUGACUCUGUUCAACGGCCGCGGUAUCCUAACCGUGCGAAGGUAGCGUAAUCACUUGUUCUUUAAAUGAGGACUAGUAUGAAUGGCACCACGAAGGUUAUACUGUCUCCUUUUUCUAAUCAGUGAAACUGAUCUCCCCGUGAAGAAGCGGGGAUACAAUUAUAAGACGAGAAGACCCUAUGGAGCUUUAAACUAAAUUACACUUGCUUAAAUUUUCCCUAAAUUUCAGAAAAACCACAAAUAUUCUAGCAAGCUGAUAAUUAGUUUUCGGUUGGGGUGACCACGGAGCAUAAAAAAACCUCCACAUUGAAAGGAACCUAAUCCUAAGCCAAGAGCUACAACUCUAAGCAUCAACAAAAUGACAUUAAUUGACCCAAUAUAUUGAUCAACGAACCAAGUUACCCUAGGGAUAACAGCGCAAUCCACUUCAAGAGCUCCUAUCGACAAGUGGGUUUACGACCUCGAUGUUGGAUCAGGGUAUCCCGGUGGUGCAGCCGCUACCAAAGGUUCGUUUGUUCAACGAUUAAAACCCU
This 1425-nucleotide ribosomal RNA is filed under the name Allophryne relicta. RNAcentral's name for it is "partial 16S ribosomal RNA". It matches the Rfam family "Bacterial large subunit ribosomal RNA", at positions 135 to 2597 of the family's 2925-position model. The record is from RNAcentral. Lineage: Eukaryota; Metazoa; Chordata; Amphibia; Anura; Allophrynidae.